RNAcentral lists this ribosomal RNA (1016 nucleotides) under uncultured bacterium. RNAcentral describes it as "bacterial SSU rRNA". It matches the Rfam family "Bacterial small subunit ribosomal RNA", at positions 357 to 1376 of the family's 1533-position model. The record is from RNAcentral.
AGGAAUAUUGGUCAAUGGGCGAGAGCCUGAACCAGCCAAGUAGCGUGAAGGAUGACUGCCCUAUGGGUUGUAAACUUCUUUUAUAAAGGAAUAAAGUCGGGUAUGUAUACCCGUUUGCAUGUACUUUAUGAAUAAGGAUCGGCUAACUCCGUGCCAGCAGCCGCGGUAAUACGGAGGAUCCGAGCGUUAUCCGGAUUUAUUGGGUUUAAAGGGAGCGUAGAUGGAUGUUUAAGUCAGUUGUGAAAGUUUGCGGCUCAACCGUAAAAUUGCAGUUGAUACUGGAUAUCUUGAGUGCAGUUGAGGCAGGCGGAAUUCGUGGUGUAGCGGUGAAAUGCUUAGAUAUCACGAAGAACUCCGAUUGCGAAGGCAGCCUGCUAAGCUGCAACUGACAUUGAGGCUCGAAAGUGUGGGUAUCAAACAGGAUUAGAUACCCUGGUAGUCCACACGGUAAACGAUGGAUACUCGCUGUUGGCGAUAGACUGUCAGCGGCUUAGCGAAAGCGUUAAGUAUCCCACCUGGGGAGUACGCCGGCAACGGUGAAACUCAAAGGAAUUGACGGGGGCCCGCACAAGCGGAGGAACAUGUGGUUUAAUUCGAUGAUACGCGAGGAACCUUACCCGGGCUUGAAUUGCAGACGAAUUGCUUGGAAACAGGCAAGCCGCAAGGCGUCUGUGAAGGUGCUGCAUGGUUGUCGUCAGCUCGUGCCGUGAGGUGUCGGCUUAAGUGCCAUAACGAGCGCAACCCUCGUGUCCAGUUACUAGCAGGUUAUGCUGAGGACUCUGGACAGACUGCCAUCGUAAGAUGUGAGGAAGGUGGGGAUGACGUCAAAUCAGCACGGCCCUUACGUCCGGGGCUACACACGUGUUACAAUGGGGGGUACAGCAGGCAGCUACCGGGCGACCGGAUGCCAAUCCCGAAAGCCUCUCUCAGUUCGGACUGGAGUCUGCAACCCGACUCCACGAAGCUGGAUUCGCUAGUAAUCGCGCAUCAGCCACGGCGCGGUGAAUACGUUCCCG